Molecule: ribosomal RNA, 230 nt
Filed under: uncultured bacterium
Lineage: Bacteria
Description: partial 16S ribosomal RNA
Rfam family: Bacterial small subunit ribosomal RNA
Source: RNAcentral
CGACGAGUGGCGGACGGGUGAGUAACGCAUAGGAAUCUGCCUUAUAGUGGGGGACAACCUGGGGAAACCCAGGCUAAUACCGCAUACGCCCUUCGGGGGAAAGGCUUCGGCCGCUAUUAGAUGAGCCUAUGUCUGAUUAGCUUGUUGGUGGGGUAAUGGCCUACCAAGGCGACGAUCAGUAGCUGGUCUGAGAGGACGAUCAGCCACACUGGGACUGAGACACGGCCCAG